Rhodococcus pyridinivorans SB3094 is the source of this 142-nucleotide non-coding RNA. The record is from Rfam. Lineage: Bacteria; Bacillati; Actinomycetota; Actinomycetes; Mycobacteriales; Nocardiaceae.
CACAACGCGCGGUGCGAAGGUGCGUCGGUAAAGAUGUGCCGAGGUGUAGGCAAUCCGGUGGAAAGCCGGAGCGGUCGCGCCACUGUAACCGGAGAUGUCGAAAUCUCCGGAAGCCAGAAAACUCCCGCGGCACAUGACGGAA